UACGUAGGGGGCAAGCGUUGUCCGGAUUUAUUGGGCGUAAAGAGCGUGUAGGCGGCCAGGUAGGUCUGCUGUGAAAACUCGAGGCUUAACCUCGAGCUGUCGGCGGAAACCAUCUGGCUAGAGUCCGGAAGAGGAGAAUGGAAUUCCCGGUGUAGCAGUGAAAUGCGUAGAUAUCGUAAGGAAGGCCGGUGGCGAAAGCGAGCCUCUGGACAGUUACUGACGCUGAUGCACGAAGGCCAGGGGAGCAAACGGG
This 253-nucleotide ribosomal RNA is filed under the name uncultured bacterium. RNAcentral's name for it is "partial 16S ribosomal RNA". It matches the Rfam family "Bacterial small subunit ribosomal RNA", at positions 524 to 776 of the family's 1533-position model. The record is from RNAcentral.